UACGAAGGGGGCGAGCGUUGUUCGGAUUUACUGGGCGUAAAGGGCGCGCAGGCGGUUCUGUUUGUCGAGUGUGAAAGCCCCGGGCUCAACCUGGGAACUGCGCUCGAAACGGCGGAACUAGAGUUCGGGAGAGGAGAGUGGAAUUCCCAGUGUAGAGGUGAAAUUCGUAGAUAUUGGGAAGAACGACCGGUGGCGAAGGCGGCUCUCUGGACCGAUACGUGACGCUGAGGCGCGAAAGCGUGGGGAGCAA
This 250-nucleotide ribosomal RNA is filed under the name uncultured bacterium. RNAcentral's name for it is "partial 16S ribosomal RNA". It matches the Rfam family "Bacterial small subunit ribosomal RNA", at positions 524 to 771 of the family's 1533-position model. The record is from RNAcentral.